This 594-nucleotide ribosomal RNA is filed under the name Aspergillus niger. Its description in RNAcentral is "LSU rRNA". It matches the Rfam family "Eukaryotic large subunit ribosomal RNA", at positions 48 to 657 of the family's 3401-position model. Lineage: Eukaryota; Fungi; Ascomycota; Eurotiomycetes; Eurotiales; Aspergillaceae. The record is from RNAcentral.
AAGCGGAGGAAAAGAAACCAACCGGGAUUGCCUCAGUAACGGCGAGUGAAGCGGCAAGAGCUCAAAUUUGAAAGCUGGCUCCUUCGGAGUCCGCAUUGUAAUUUGCAGAGGAUGCUUUGGGUGCGGCCCCCGUCUAAGUGCCCUGGAACGGGCCGUCAGAGAGGGUGAGAAUCCCGUCUUGGGCGGGGUGUCCGUGCCCGUGUAAAGCUCCUUCGACGAGUCGAGUUGUUUGGGAAUGCAGCUCUAAAUGGGUGGUAAAUUUCAUCUAAAGCUAAAUACUGGCCGGAGACCGAUAGCGCACAAGUAGAGUGAUCGAAAGAUGAAAAGCACUUUGAAAAGAGAGUUAAACAGCACGUGAAAUUGUUGAAAGGGAAGCGCUUGCGACCAGACUCGCCCGCGGGGUUCAGCCGGCAUUCGUGCCGGUGUACUUCCCCGUGGGCGGGCCAGCGUCGGUUUGGGCGGCCGGUCAAAGGCCCCUGGAAUGUAGUACCCUCCGGGGUACCUUAUAGCCAGGGGUGCAAUGCGGCCAGCCUGGACCGAGGAACGCGCUUCGGCACGGACGCUGGCAUAAUGGUCGUAAACGACCCGUCUUGA